RNAcentral lists this ribosomal RNA (501 nucleotides) under uncultured bacterium. Its description in RNAcentral is "partial 16S ribosomal RNA". It matches the Rfam family "Bacterial small subunit ribosomal RNA", at positions 28 to 523 of the family's 1533-position model. The record is from RNAcentral.
GAUGAACGCUGGCGGCAGGCUUAACACAUGCAAGUCGAGCGGGGGAAGGUAGCUUGCUACCGGACCUAGCGGCGGACGGGUGAGUAAUGCUUAGGAAUCUGCCUAUUAGUGGGGGACAACAUCUCGAAAGGGAUGCUAAUACCGCAUACGUCCUACGGGAGAAAGCAGGGGAUCUUCGGACCUUGCGCUAAUAGAUGAGCCUAAGUCGGAUUAGCUAGUUGGUGGGGUAAAGGCCCACCAAGGCGACGAUCUGUAGCGGGUCUGAGAGGAUGAUCCGCAACUCUGGGACGGAGACACGGCCCAGACUCCUAAGGGAGGCAGCAGUGGGGAAUAUUGGACAAUGGGGGGAACCCUGAUCCAGCCAUGCCGCGUGUGUGAAGAAGGCCUUAUGGUUGUAAAGCACUUUAAGCGAGGAGGAGGCUACUCUAGUUAAUACCUAGGGAUAGUGGACGUUACUCGCAGAAUAAGCACCGGCUAACUCUGUGCCAGCAGCCGCCGUAA